This 482-nucleotide ribosomal RNA is filed under the name uncultured bacterium. RNAcentral describes it as "partial 16S ribosomal RNA". It matches the Rfam family "Bacterial small subunit ribosomal RNA", at positions 30 to 507 of the family's 1533-position model. The record is from RNAcentral.
AUUGAACGCUGGCGGCAUGCUUUACACAUGCAAGUCGAACGGUAACAGGCCGCAAGGUGCUGACGAGUGGCGAACGGGUGAGUAAUGCAUCGGAACGUGCCCAGCCGUGGGGGAUAACUACUCGAAAGAGUAGCUAAUACCGCAUACGAUCUAUGGAUGAAAGCGGGGGACCGUAAGGCCUCGCGCGAUUGGAGCGGCCGAUGUCAGAUUAGGUAGUUGGUGGGGUAAAGGCUCACCAAGCCAACGAUCUGUAGCUGGUCUGAGAGGACGACCAGCCACACUGGGACUGAGACACGGCCCAGACUCCUACGGGAGGCAGCAGUGGGGAAUUUUGGACAAUGGGCGCAAGCCUGAUCCAGCAAUGCCGCGUGCUGGAAGAAGGCCUUCGGGUUGUAAACUGCUUUUGUACGGAACGAAACGGCUCUGGUUAAUACCCGGGGCUAAUGACGGUACCGUAAGAAUAAGCACCGGCUAACUACGUG